This is a non-coding RNA of Danio rerio (zebrafish), 117 nucleotides long. Lineage: Eukaryota; Metazoa; Chordata; Actinopteri; Cypriniformes; Danionidae. The record is from Rfam.
CGCCACAGCCAUAUCACCCUGCAGCCCAAGACUGGUUACUCACUGAAGAUAAGCAGGGCUGAGCCUGGUCAGUACCUGGAUGGUAGACCACUAGGGUAAACUAGGUUGCUGUCGGAA